GUUGUCUGGCUGUAUGGUGACGGAGGAAGGCUGUGGUUAUUUGUCUUCAGCUCUGAGUUUAAACCCUCACACCUGAAAGAACUGGAUCUGAGCUACAAUCACCCAGGAGAUUCAGGAAUGCAGCUGCUCAAACAUAAACUGGAGGAUCCAAACUGUAAACUGGUAGAACUCAAUUUUAACCAUGGAGGAGGUUCAGGAUUAAACCAGGACUGAGAAAAUAUGCCUGUGAUCUCAUACUGGAUCCAAAAACGGCACACACUCAAGUCAUCCUGUCCGAAGACAACAAAAAAGCAAGUUGUAUAAAGAGGAGCAGCCGUAUCCUGACUGUCCAGAGAGAUUUGAGCGCUUUGAGCAGGUUCUGUUCUGUUCAGUCAGAGAGAGUCUGACUGGGCGCUGUUACUGGGAGGCUGAAUGGAGCGGAUGGGGUCAUGUCGCGGUGUCAUAUAAAGGAAUCAGCAGGAAAGGUGGGAGCAGCUGUCGGUUUGGACUCAAUAAGAAGUCCUGGAAUCUUUACUGCUGUGAUACGCUUUACUCUGUCUGGCACAAUAAUAAGAGGACAAACAUUCCUGUCCCUUCAUCUUCAUCUAAUAGAGUAGGAGUGUAUGUGGAUGUGUCGGUUGGCUCUCUGUCCUUCUACAGCGUCUCUGACACACACACUCACACACUUACACACAUUCAACACCACAUUCACUGAACCCCUCUCGCUGGAUUUAGACUAUAUCCUAAUUCUUCAGUAUUUUUCUGCUGAAUUUGAAUUUUACCAAAAACAAAAGAAACACAAAGAUAAAUUCCUCUAUAAUGGCAACAAAUAAAGUUUUUCAGCACUUCCUAGAUAAAGAUCCAAAUACCUUUAGCUUUCAUGGACAUAUUUUCAUAGACAUUUCAGACUAAUUCCUCUUAUAUUGCAAGUCACUGAUAUAAGGUAUCAUUUAUUCUUGUGUGUGUUUUAGUAGGCAAAGGUAGCCAUAUUAGCCUUUUUUUGUUACCAUCACAUUUUUGUAUGUACAUACGUGUUUUUGCAUUGUAUAUUUUUAAAUGCUUAUAUGUAGUUAGAUCUGUAGUUAAUUUCUGAUCAGACUUUAAGAAGAUUAAAGCUAAUAAAAAUCCCUAGAUUUACAUUCAUGGAAUGUUCAGAUGAGCCAAGACUAUUAAACUCCAAAUGUCAAAAUUUAAAUCUAAAGACCCUAAACCCCAUUAGAAUCAAUCAGACGUUCCUUCUAUGUAAUAUGUCUAACCAAUUUAAACAACUUUAAGCUUCCACUCUAUCUAAUCAUACUAACAACAUGCUAAUAAUGCUAGAAACACGGUAAUUGUGUAAUCUACAUGAUUGUAACUAGCUUAUCAUGCUAACAACAUCCUAGUAACUUACUAAUCAUGCUAACGACGUUAAUCAUGCUAGUAGCAUGCUAAUCAUGCUAACAACAUGGUAGUAACAUGCUAAUCAUGCUAGUGACAUACAAAACAUGCUAGAGCCAUGUUGGUAACUUGUUAAUCAACAAACCACCCGAACUGAAUAACAACACCCUAGCAACUACCCCAGGUACCUUAGCAACCACAUAGCUAGACCUUAGCAGCCACCUGGUACCCUAGCAACUGCCCCAGGUACCCUAGCAACCACCUAGAAUUUCCUAGUUACCACUCUGAGGUCCUUAGAUUAUAGAUAGAUAGAUUCUGAACGUCUUUAAAACUACUUCUAAUAGGGUCAGACUUUCUCAAGCCAACUUCAAAGAUUGUUAACAAACUUUACUUAUCUAUUUACAUUUAUAAUUACAUUGUUGACCCAUCACCUUACCCUUUAACCCACCCUUAAACAUAACCUGAGCCCCAAACAUGUCCUAGCCUUCCCUGUAUCCCACCUUAAUAAUGGCAAUACUGUUUUACAAUGCAGCAUGACCCCAAUAAGUACAUUGUACAUAUUUCUGAUGUAAGUACAUAGUAUUUAAGGCCACCUAAUGUAAAGUGUGUCUCUUUAUUGUAACAAUUUGACAGUUGAUAUUGGGUUAAUCGUCAUUUUCUUCAAAAAUAUUUGCUUUAAUCAUAAUGCUUUGAAAUAUUAGUUCAUUAUGAAGAUAUUAGUCGUAUUAUAACAUUAUGUUACAUUUUUGUGCAUAUGCAUUGAGAAAGCAGGAAGCAGUCACUGUGCUUUCACACAGGACACGUUUGCAGUGCACUACUGUAUUUGUACAUUUUGUAUAAUUUCAACAAUGCAAUUUCAGCAUAUUAAGAUGUAUACUGAACCAACAACUUUUUCUAACUAAUGUUACUUCAUGGUCGGCCUUUACAAACCACAUGUAAUCUACUAAUUAGACAUACAAAUGUAUGCAUGACAGGCUAUUUCAAGUGUAAACUGAAACGUAUACACCUACAUGCUAAUGACAUCAACCUGCAAGGUGACGACCAAAAAAAUAAAUUAAUAAAAUAAAUAAAAAACAACAAUACUGUAUUCACUAACAACAUAUAGGCACCAAUAAUAUGUGAUCAUAUUGAAAAACAAUAAUCAUAUAAAUUAUGUAAUGUUAUAUUAAUUACGUAGAUUUAUAGAGUUAAUAAGAUAAAUAAACAACUGAUUAAAUAAUGAUUGAGCAUUAGUGAUGAACACCUGCUGUUUCUGAGAAUGACAGAGGAUCAGAUGGUGAUGUUUAACUGGCUAAAAUGAUGCCAGCAUCAAAAAGAUCAGUGUUUGAUUUAGUUGGGCUCUUGACCCUUUACGAAUUCAAAGAAACGGCUUCUAAGCAACUGCUUCACAGCUAGCACUGACUACAUAGAUUAGCAAUGGAUUAUAAAUAUACUUCAUUAUUAUUCAAAUUAUUUAUCUCCAACCCCGAAAAAGGUAGCAACAUAUUUCAUUUUUGAGGCCACGAGGGAUGGAAGUACAGUGCAUGUAUUGUACCGUCAAUUAAAACAUACCAAUAUUAAGCUUAUUUCCAAAAAAAUAUAU
Long non-coding RNA from Puntigrus tetrazona (Sumatra barb), 2938 nucleotides. RefSeq lists it as uncharacterized. The record is from RefSeq and is a predicted model, not a curated record. The transcript has 3 exons. Lineage: Eukaryota; Metazoa; Chordata; Actinopteri; Cypriniformes; Cyprinidae.